GGAAUUGUUCGCAAUGGGCGCAAGCCUGACGACGCAACGCCGCGUGGAGGAUGAAGAUUUUCGGAUCGUAAACUCCUGUCGAGUGGGACGAACAGUUCGCCGGCGAACAGCCGGCGUUCCUGACGGUACCGCUAAAGGAAGCCCCGGCUAACUCCGUGCCAGCAGCCGCGGUAAUACGGGGGGGGCAAGCGUUGUUCGGAAUUACUGGGCGUAAAGGGCUCGUAGGCGGCCAGCUAAGUCAGACGUGAAAUCCCUCGGCUCAACCGGGGAACUGCGUCUGAUACUGGAUGGCUUGAAUCCGGGAGAGGGAUGCGGAAUUCCAGGUGUAGCGGUGAAAUGCGUAGAUAUCUGGAGGAACACCGGUGGCGAAGGCGGCAUCCUGGACCGGCAUUGACGCUGAGGAGCGAAAGCCAGGGGAGCAAA
Molecule: ribosomal RNA, 423 nt
Filed under: uncultured bacterium
Lineage: Bacteria
Description: bacterial SSU rRNA
Rfam family: Bacterial small subunit ribosomal RNA
Source: RNAcentral